RNAcentral lists this ribosomal RNA (253 nucleotides) under uncultured bacterium. RNAcentral's name for it is "partial 16S ribosomal RNA". It matches the Rfam family "Bacterial small subunit ribosomal RNA", at positions 524 to 776 of the family's 1533-position model. RNAcentral also lists the same sequence under 1 other name. The record is from RNAcentral.
UACGAAGGGGGCUAGCGUUGUUCGGAAUUACUGGGCGUAAAGCGCACGCAGGCGGUUUGUCUAGUCAGGAGUGAAAGCCCGGGGCUUAACCCCGGAAUAGCUCUUGAUACUGGCAGACUUGAAUCACGGAGAGGGUAGUGGAAUUCCGAGUGUAGAGGUGAAAUUCGUAGAUAUUCGGAAGAACACCAGUGGCGAAGGCGACUACCUGGCCGUUGAUUGACGCUCAUGUGCGAAAGCGUGGGGAGCAAACAGG